GCCAAAAAGUUCGUUUGGAUUUUUCCAUCCUGUGUGAUGGAAAACCCGAACGAACCUUUUGGC
This 63-nucleotide microRNA precursor is filed under the name Tursiops truncatus (common bottlenose dolphin). RNAcentral describes it as "miRNA (ENSTTRG00000024791.1)". The record is from RNAcentral. Lineage: Eukaryota; Metazoa; Chordata; Mammalia; Artiodactyla; Delphinidae.